RNAcentral lists this ribosomal RNA (1346 nucleotides) under uncultured bacterium. RNAcentral describes it as "bacterial SSU rRNA". It matches the Rfam family "Bacterial small subunit ribosomal RNA", at positions 28 to 1381 of the family's 1533-position model. The record is from RNAcentral.
GACGAACUCUGGCGGCGUGCUUAACACAUGCAAGUCGAACGGAAAGGCCCUGCUUUUGUGGGGUGCUCGAGUGGCGAACGGGUGAGUAACACGUGAGUAACCUGCCCUUGACUUUGGGAUAACUUCAGGAAACUGGGGCUAAUACCGGAUAGGAGCUCCUGCUGCAUGGUGGGGGUUGGAAAGUUUCGGCGGUUGGGGAUGGACUCGCGGCUUAUCAGCUUGUUGGUGGGGUAGUGGCUUACCAAGGCUUUGACGGGUAGCCGGCCUGAGAGGGUGACCGGCCACAUUGGGACUGAGAUACGGCCCAGACUCCUACGGGAGGCAGCAGUGGGGAAUAUUGCACAAUGGGCGGAAGCCUGAUGCAGCAACGCCGCGUGCGGGAUGACGGCCUUCGGGUUGUAAACCGCUUUCGCCUGUGACGAAGCGUGAGUGACGGUAAUGGGUAAAGAAGCACCGGCUAACUACGUGCCAGCAGCCGCGGUGAUACGUAGGGUGCGAGCGUUGUCCGGAUUUAUUGGGCGUAAAGGGCUCGUAGGUGGUUGAUCGCGUCGGAAGUGUAAUCUUGGGGCUUAACCCUGAGCGUGCUUUCGAUACGGGUUGACUUGAGGAAAGUAAGGGAGAAUGGAAUUCCUGGUGGAGCGGUGGAAUGCGCAGAUAUCAGGAGGAACACCAGUGGCGAAGGCGGUUCUCUGGGCCUUUCCUGACGCUGAGGAGCGAAAGCGUGGGGAGCGAACAGGCUUAGAUACCCUGGUAGUCCACGCUGUAAACGGUGGGUACUAGGUGUGGGGUCCAUUCCACGGGUUCCGUGCCGUAGCUAACGCUUUAAGUACCCCGCCUGGGGAGUACGGCCGCAAGGCUAAAACUCGAAGGAAUUGACGGGGCCCCGCACAAGCGGCGGAGCAUGCGGAUUAAUUCGAUGCAACGCGUAGAACCUUACCUGGGUUUGACAUGGAUCGGGAGUGCUCAGAGAUGGGUGUGCCUCUUUUGGGGUCGGUUCACAGGUGGUGCAUGCCUGUCGUCAGCUCGUGUCGUGAGAUGUUGGGUUAAGUCCCGCAACGAGCGCAACCCUUGUUCACUGUUGCCAGCACGUUAUGGUGGGGACUCAGUGGAGACCGCCGGGGUCAACUCGGAGGAAGGUGGGGAUGACGUCAAGUCCUCAUGCCCCUUAUGUCCAGGGCUUCACGCAUGCUACAAUGGCUGGUACAGAGAGUGGCGAGCCUGUGAGGGUGAGCGAAUCUCGGAAAGCCGGUCUCAGUUCGGAUUGGGGUCUGCAACUCGACCUCAUGAAGUCGGAGUCGCUAGUAAUCGCAGAUCAGCAACGCUGCGGUGAAUACGUUCCCGGGGCU